GUGAGGAAUAUUGGACAAUGGAUGGAAAUCUGAUCCAGCCAUGCCGCGUGCAGGAAGACGGCCCUAUGGGUUGUAAACUGCUUUUGUAUGGGAGCAAUAAGGGUUACGUGUAGCCCGAUGAGAGUACCAUACGAAUAAUGACCGGCUAACUCCGUGCCAGCAGCCGCGGUAAUACGGAGGGUCCGAGCGUUAUCCGGAGUUAUUGGGUUUACAGGGUGCGUAGGCGGUUUUAUAAGUGAGCGGUGAAAUUUUCCUGCUCAACCGGGAUACUGCCGUUGAUACUGUAAGGCUAGGAUAUGGUUGCUGUGGGUGGAAUGUGUGGUGUAGCUGUGAAAUGCUUAGAGAUCACACAGAAUAUCGAUUGCGAAGGCAGCUCACAAAGCCAUUAUUGACGCUGAGGCACGAAAGUGUGGGGAUCAAACAGGAUUAGAAACCCGAGUAGUCC
RNAcentral lists this ribosomal RNA (445 nucleotides) under uncultured bacterium. RNAcentral describes it as "partial 16S ribosomal RNA". It matches the Rfam family "Bacterial small subunit ribosomal RNA", at positions 354 to 796 of the family's 1533-position model. The record is from RNAcentral.